AACGAACGCUGGCGGCAGGCUUAACACAUGCAAGUCGAACGAGAUCUUCGGAUCUAGUGGCAGACGGGUGAGGAACACGUGGGAACAUCCCUUUCAGUUCGGAAUAACGUUGGGAAACUAACGCUAAUACCGGAUACGUCCUUCGGGAGAAAGAUUUAUCGCUGAAAGAUUGGCCCGCGUCUGAUUAGCUAGUUGGUGAGGUAACGGCUCACCAAGGCUACGAUCAGUAGCUGAUCUGAGAGGAUGAUCAGCCACAUUGGGACUGAGACACGGCCCAAACUCCUACGGGAGGCAGCAGUGGGGGAUAUUGGACAAUGGGCGCAGGCCUGAUCCAGCCAUGCCGCGUGAGUGAUGACGGCCUUCGGGUUGUAAAGCUCUUUUGUCCGGGAAGAUAAUGACUGUACCGGAAGAAUAAGCCCCGGCAAACUUCGUGCCAGCAGCCGCCGUAA
This 449-nucleotide ribosomal RNA is filed under the name uncultured bacterium. RNAcentral describes it as "partial 16S ribosomal RNA". It matches the Rfam family "Bacterial small subunit ribosomal RNA", at positions 29 to 523 of the family's 1533-position model. The record is from RNAcentral.